GACGAACGCUGGCGGCGUGCCUAACACAUGCAAGUCGAACGGAAAGGCCCUGCUUUUGUGGGGUGCUCGAGUGGCGAACGGGUGAGUAACACGUGAGUAACCUGCCCUUGACUUUGGGAUAACUUUAGGAAACUGGGGCUAAUACCGGAUAGGAGCUCCUGCUGCAUGGUGGGGGUUGGAAAGUUUCGGCGUUUGGGGAUGGACUCGCGGCUUAUCAGCUUGUUGGUGGGGUAGUGGCUUUCCAAGGGUUUGACGGGUAGCCGGCCUGGGAGGGUGACCGGCCACCAUGGGCCUGAGGUACGGCCCAGACUCCUACGGGAGGCAGCAGUGGGGAAUAUUGCACAAUGGGCGGAAGCCUGAGGCAGCAGCGCCGCGUGCGGAAUGACGGCCUUCGGGUUGUAAACCGCUUUCGCCUGUGACGAAGCGUGAGUGACGGUAAUGGGUAAAGAAGCACCGGCUAACUACGUG
RNAcentral lists this ribosomal RNA (468 nucleotides) under uncultured bacterium. Its description in RNAcentral is "partial 16S ribosomal RNA". It matches the Rfam family "Bacterial small subunit ribosomal RNA", at positions 28 to 507 of the family's 1533-position model. The record is from RNAcentral.